This 397-nucleotide ribosomal RNA is filed under the name uncultured bacterium. RNAcentral describes it as "partial 16S ribosomal RNA". It matches the Rfam family "Bacterial small subunit ribosomal RNA", at positions 523 to 918 of the family's 1533-position model. The record is from RNAcentral.
AUACGUAGGGGGCGAGCGUUGUCCGGAAUGAUUGGGCGUAAAGGGCGCGUAGGCGGCUUUGCAAGUCAGUAGUGGAAGUCCCUUUUUCAAGGUUGGAAGUGCUACAGAAACUGCGGAGCUUGAGUGUAGGAGAGGUUAUCGGAAUUCCCGGUGUAGCGGUGAAAUGCGUAGAGAUCGGGAGGAACACCAGUGGCGAAGGCGGGUAACUGGACUGCAACUGACGCUGAGGCGCGAAAGUGUGGGGAGCAAACAGGAUUAGAUACCCUGGUAGUCCACACUGUAAACGAUGAAUGCUAGGUGUAGGAGGUAUCGACCCCUUCUGCGCCGCAGUAAACACAGUAAGCAUUCCGCCUGGGGAGUACGGUCGCAAGAUUAAAACUCAAAGGAAUUGACGGGG